RNAcentral lists this ribosomal RNA (457 nucleotides) under uncultured bacterium. RNAcentral describes it as "bacterial SSU rRNA". It matches the Rfam family "Bacterial small subunit ribosomal RNA", at positions 340 to 787 of the family's 1533-position model. The record is from RNAcentral.
UACGGGAGGCAGCAGUGGGGAAUAUUGCACAAUGGGCGCAAGCCUGAUGCAGCCAUGCCGCGUGUAUGAAGAAGGCCUUCGGGUUGUAAAGUACUUUCAGCGGGGAGGAAGGUGUUGUGGUUAAUAACCGCAGCAAUUGACGUUACCCGCAGAAGAAGCACCGGCUAACUCCGUGCCAGCAGCCGCGGUAAUACGGAGGGUGCAAGCGUUAAUCGGAAUUACUGGGCGUAAAGCGCACGCAGGCGGUCUGUCAAGUCGGAUGUGAAAUCCCCGGGCUCAACCUGGGAACUGCAUUCGAAACUGGCAGGCUAGAGUCUUGUAGAGGGGGUAGAAUUCCAGGUGUAGCGGUGAAAUGCGUAGAGAUCUGGAGGAAUACCGGUGGCGAAGGCGGGCCCCUGGGACAAAGACUGACGCUCAGGUGCGAAAGCGUGGGGAGCAAACGAGGAUUAGGAUAACC